Unclassified non-coding RNA from Cercocebus atys (sooty mangabey), 96 nucleotides. It matches the Rfam family "Y RNA". From Rfam's summary of the family: Y RNAs are components of the Ro ribonucleoprotein particle (Ro RNP), in association with Ro60 and La proteins. The Y RNAs and Ro60 and La proteins are well conserved, but the function of the Ro RNP is not known. Lineage: Eukaryota; Metazoa; Chordata; Mammalia; Primates; Cercopithecidae. The record is from Ensembl.
GGCUGGCCCAAUGAUAGUGGGUUAUCAGAACUUAUCAACAUUAGUGUUGCUAAAGUUGGUAUACAACCCCCCACUGCGAAAUUUGGCUGGCUUUUA